AUUGAACGCUGGCGGCAUGCUUUACACAUGCAAGUCGAACGGUAACAGGCCGCAAGGUGCUGACGAGUGGCGAACGGGUGAGUAAUGCAUCGGAACGUGCCCAGUCGUGGGGGAUAACUACUCGAAAGAGUAGCUAAUACCGCAUACGAUCUAUGGAUGAAAGCGGGGGACCGUAAGGCCUCGCGCGAUUGGAGCGGCCGAUGUCAGAUUAGGUAGUUGGUGGGGUAAAGGCUCACCAAGCCAACGAUCUGUAGCUGGUCUGAGAGGACGACCAGCCACACUGGGACUGAGACACGGCCCAGACUCCUACGGGAGGCAGCAGUGGGGAAUUUUGGACAAUGGGCGCAAGCCUGAUCCAGCAAUGCCGCGUGCAGGAAGAAGGCCUUCGGGUUGUAAACUGCUUUUGUACGGAACGAAACGGCUCUGGUUAAUACCCGGGGCUAAUGACGGUACCGUAAGAAUAAACACCGGCUACUACGUG
Molecule: ribosomal RNA, 481 nt
Filed under: uncultured bacterium
Lineage: Bacteria
Description: partial 16S ribosomal RNA
Rfam family: Bacterial small subunit ribosomal RNA
Source: RNAcentral